CUCGUACUCCCUUCGUCCGAAAAUACUUGUUAUGAAAAUGAAUAAAAAAAGAUGUAUCUAGAACUGAAAUACAUCUAGAUACAUUUUCUUUUAUCCAUUUUGAUGACAAAUAUUUUUGGACGGAAGAAGUAAAAA
Triticum urartu is the source of this 135-nucleotide non-coding RNA. The record is from Rfam. NCBI's taxonomy places the organism in Eukaryota, Viridiplantae, Streptophyta, Magnoliopsida, Poales, Poaceae.